AUACGGAGGACCCGAGCGUUAUCCGGAUUCAUUGGGUUUAAAGGGUGCGCAGGCGGAGGAGUAAGUCAGGGGUGAAAGCCGGCAGCUUAACUGUCGAAUUGCCUUUGAUACUGCUUUUCUUGAGUGUGGUUGAUGUGGGCGGAAUGUGGCAUGUAGCGGUGAAAUGCUUAGAUAUGCCACAGAACACCGAUUGCGAAGGCAGCUCACAAAGCCAUUACUGACGCUCAUGCACGAAAGCAUGGGGAGCAAACAGGAUUAGAUACCCUGGUAGUCCAUGCCGUAAACGAUGAUGACUCGAUGUUAGCGAUACACUGUUAGCGUCUAAGCGAAAGCGUUAAGUCAUCCACCUGGGAAGUACGAUCGCAAGGUUGAA
Molecule: ribosomal RNA, 373 nt
Filed under: uncultured bacterium
Lineage: Bacteria
Description: bacterial SSU rRNA
Rfam family: Bacterial small subunit ribosomal RNA
Source: RNAcentral